AAUAAUAAUAAUAAUAAAAAUAUUACUAACCUCAGUGGUUCCUAGUAGGAGUUGACGACGGUUCUCAACCGAGGGUGAUUUUUUUUUCCCCAGAGGAUAUUUGACAAUGUCUGGAGAAAGUUUUGGUUACAACCAGGUGUGGUGUUGCCCCUGGCAUCUGUGAAUGGAGGCCAGGGAUGUUGCUAACCAUCAGACAACACACAGGACAGCCCCCGAAGCAAAGAAUGAGCCAGCCCAAAAUGUCAGUAGCGCCAAGGUUGGGAAACUCUGGGUUAAACUUAUUAAUGCACCAUGUGCUCUCAGGAGGGUAGAGGCCAAGAAGCAUUUUCUGUUGACUUAGCACAAACAAAGUUGCCCACAACAUAAAGGGCUUUCCCAGUCCAGGAAAAUGGAGUAAAGUGCUGGGUGUGAAGAAGGUCAGAGCCAGAGUGAGACCCAUUGUUCUGCAUGAGAGGGGGUGGGGAGAGUGGCAGUGACGCCAGAAAUCUCUGAGUGUGACUCACUGAGAGAAGCCAGCUGGAUGGCAGGGUUGCCAGAGCCUUUGUUCCAAGCUGCAUUUGAGUAGUGAGCUUGAGGUUUUUCCACAGAAGCUUCUCCAUUUCCACCUUUGCAAACUCUGGACUCCAAGGACGCAAGAUGGCCGGAAACAAGAUGGUGGAGAUGGAGUCCCCCUCUGUCACCCAGGCUAGAGUGCAGCCUGAUUCUACAACUUGGCCAUGUGAUCCUGAGCAAAUUACAUUCCCGUUUCAGUUUUCCCUCUUCAACAACAACAAAAAAGCGUUGGAUUAAGUAAUGAUUAAAACUCCUUUCUGCUGGGCGCGGUGGCUCAUGCCUAUAAUCCCAGCACUUU
This 850-nucleotide long non-coding RNA is filed under the name Homo sapiens (human). RNAcentral describes it as "HSALNT0401569". The record is from RNAcentral. Lineage: Eukaryota; Metazoa; Chordata; Mammalia; Primates; Hominidae.